Molecule: ribosomal RNA, 289 nt
Filed under: uncultured Peptoniphilus sp.
Lineage: Bacteria; Bacillati; Bacillota; Tissierellia; Tissierellales; Peptoniphilaceae
Description: partial 16S ribosomal RNA
Rfam family: Bacterial small subunit ribosomal RNA
Source: RNAcentral
CCCUCGGGAUGAAAAAUAUUGGAUUAGUGGCGGACGGGUGAGUAACACGUGAGUAACCUGCCUUUUACACAGGGAUAGCCUCGGGAAACCGGGAUUAAAACCUGAUGAAACUAUCAAAUCACAUGAUUAAGAAAGUUAAAACUCCGGUGGUAAAAGAUGGACUCGCGUCCCAUUAGCUAGUUGGUGAAGGUAACGGCCCACCAAGGCAACGAUGGGUAGCCGGCCUGAGAGGGUGAACGGCCACAUUGGAACUGAGAAACGGUCCAAACUCCUACGGGAGGCAGCAGGA